This is an RNA transcript of Vitis riparia (riverbank grape), 1952 nucleotides long. It is a transcript of the gene named mRNA-decapping enzyme-like protein, with no coding region annotated. The record is from RefSeq and is a predicted model, not a curated record. The transcript is spliced from 9 exons. Lineage: Eukaryota; Viridiplantae; Streptophyta; Magnoliopsida; Vitales; Vitaceae.
AAAAAGAAAAAAAGAAAAUAAAAACAAAACAAUAAGGGCGGAGUGAAGAAGAAGUAACGAACGACUCUUGCAGAGAUAGAGAGGCCUAACCAACAGCAGAUUCUAGGGUUUGUGUUGGGGAAGCCCAUACAGCAAAUUACACGCCCAUUAAUAGAAGAAAAAUAAAGGUAAAAAUGUCACAGAACGGGAAAUUAAUGCCAAAUCUGGAUCAACAGAGCACCAAAAUCCUCAAUCUCACUGUUCUCCAACGAAUCGAUCCCUUCGUCGAAGAGAUUUUAAUCACCGCCGCUCAUGUCACCUUCUAUGAAUUCAACAUCGACCUCAGCCAAUGGAGUCGAAAGGACGUCGAGGGAUCUCUAUUUGUCGUUAAAAGGAACACUCAGCCCCGGUUCCAGUUCAUUGUGAUGAAUCGGCGCAACACAGAUAAUUUGGUGGAGAAUCUCUUAGGGGAUUUUGAGUAUGAAGUUCAGGUUCCAUAUCUAUUAUAUCGAAAUGCAGCCCAAGAAGUCAAUGGUAUUUGGUUCUACAAUGCACGUGAAUGUGAGGAGGUCGCGAAUCUUUUUACCAGGAUAUUGAAUGCAUACUCCAAGGUGCCUCCAAAGACAAAGGUGUCUUCAACAAAAAGCGAGUUUGAGGAAUUGGAAGCAGUUCCAACUAUGGCAGUGAUGGAUGGUCCUCUAGAGCCCUCAUCAUCAACCUCCUCAAAUGUUGCAGAUGUUCCUGAUGAUCCUUCAUUUGUGAACUUCUUCAGUGAGGCUGUAACAAUUGGCAAUGCUUCAAGUGUUGCAGUUACUGGACAGCCUUACCAGUCUUCUGCAACACCCCCCCUACCUUCUUGUCCACCCAAUGCUAUUCCUGGCACUGUUCCGACCUUGCAGCUUGCUUCUCCUCCUCAAUCAACAUCUACUUCUUUGAUUCCCAUCCUUGAUACCUCUCAACCCAGCAGCACAAGCAACCGAACCACUAAUCUUGUAAAGCCUUCUUCAUUUUUUGGUCCUCCAUCCUCUUCCCCACUGAUGAUGCCACCUCUCUCUUCUGCCAUGCCUACUGCUCCCCCCCUCCAUCCACCUGUAACCUUACAACGGCCAUAUGGUGCUCCGAUGCUUCAACCAUUCCCACCACCCACUCCCCCACCAUCCCUUACACCUACUUCUAUGCCAGCCCCAAAUUAUGGACCAGUUAUCACUAGAGACAAAGUCCGUGAAGCACUUCUGAUGCUUGUUCAGCUGCUGUUGUUCCUUGAACUUGGUGGUAUUGAGAAAGGUCAAAGAAUUAGAAUUUUCAUUGGAAGAUAUUAGACCACAAUUGAAAUCAAAUGGGGUGUUAAUAAGGAAAGGCCUACAUAUUCAUAAUAUCUCUACUCCAACUAUGGAAGACUACAAAUGUAUUUAUUGUUUGAUCGGUAACAAAUUCUGAGGAAGGACAAUCAAUUUAUUGAUAUGGUCCAUCGAGCAUUGCUGAAUGCACACCACUCGUGAUCAGUUGGAAGAGGCAUCUCCUAUUUGCUGGAAUUUCUGUCCGUAAAAUCCACAAUUGUGAUAAAUUGGAAGAGGCAUAUAGUUUCCUUGCUGGAGUUUCUUCUAUUGUGUAGUUUUUUACUCGCUCUAAGCGCAUGUAAGACCAUUUUGUACAGCAAUCACACUCCAUCCGGUGGCUUUGACAUCACUGAAACUCAUUUCUAAUAUAUAUAUAUAUAUAUAUAUAUAUAUGUAAGAUCAUUCUGGCUUUUGAUCGUUUGGUGAAGUUGAUGAUCAACGACUACUGCAUUUGAAGGUUGCCCCAAGCUUAUAUUCAUUGGUGGAAAGGUUAUUUAUGUUGAACCACAAAGUUAACAAAAAGUCUUGUGGCUCAAUGGGCAUCGAGUAUUUGUGGAGUACGUAAAUCAUACUUAUCUGCACCCAUUAAUCUGUUGUUUUUUUGUUCAUCAAUAUAAGUUUAAAUUCUUUUUUGCA